Falco peregrinus (peregrine falcon) is the source of this 799-nucleotide long non-coding RNA. RefSeq lists it as uncharacterized. The transcript is spliced from 3 exons. Lineage: Eukaryota; Metazoa; Chordata; Aves; Falconiformes; Falconidae. The record is from RefSeq and is a predicted model, not a curated record.
UGGGCUGGUUGGCUGUUUCAAGCCAAGUGCUUUUUGAAAACUUCAGAAAAAUCCUUUGUCCUUUUUGAAGAAUGAGAUCAAGGAAGAUAUAUCAUUUUAUUUUUGUUAUAAAAUUCUUCCUGCCAUCUCACUGAGGGAUUUUACUCCAGGCUCUGAAGCAUAGACUUUAACUUUGGGAGAAGUAUGAUUCUUAUGUUGAGAUUGUGCCUUUUUCAAUCCUAGAAUAUCUCUAUUUGGAAGGGACCCAUAAGCAUCAUCAAGUCCAACUCCCUGCUCCUUGCUGGACUACCUAAAACUAAGCCAUAUCACUAAGAGUGUCAUUCAGAUGCUCCUUGAAGUCUGACAGGUUUGGUGCUGUGACCACUUCCCUGGGAAGCCAGUUCCAGUGACCAGCCACCCUCUCAGUGAAGAACUUUUGCUAAUGCCCAGCCUGCACUUCCCCUGAUGCAGCUUUAUUCCAUUUUGUCGUGUCCUGUCACUGGUCACCAGAGAGAUCAGCACCUCUACCUCCGCUGCCGUCCUUGAGAAAGUUGUAGACUGUGAUGAGGUCACUCUUCAGCAAUGAGGACAUACCUCAGCCCUCUCUUCUCCAAGCUGAACAAGCCAAGUGACCUCAGCCACUGCUGCAACUUUGUGAUGCUGGUGAAGAGCCAUUCAUACACGUCUCCUUUUCAACUCCAGUGAGCACAUUUUAUGGAUGAAUACAAGGCUGUAAAAGAAGCAACUGUAAAAACUGAAUUUUGUAUUAGUCUGGGAAAAGAAAACCACAAAACCAAAAAUGUUAAUGUUUGGAAAUCAG